RNAcentral lists this ribosomal RNA (440 nucleotides) under uncultured bacterium. Its description in RNAcentral is "partial 16S ribosomal RNA". It matches the Rfam family "Bacterial small subunit ribosomal RNA", at positions 338 to 795 of the family's 1533-position model. The record is from RNAcentral.
CCUACGGGGGGCUGCAGUGGGGAAUAUUGCACAAUGGGGGAAACCCUGAUGCAGCGACGCCGCGUGAGUGAAGAAGUAUUUCGGUAUGUAAAGCUCUAUCAGCCGGGAAGAAAAUGACGGUACCUGACUAAGUAGCCCCGGCUAACUACGUGCCAGCCGCCGCCGUAAUACGUAGGGGGCAAGCGUUAUCCGGAUUUACGGGGGGUAAAGGGAGCGUAGGCGGCUGAGCAAGGCUGGAGUGAAAGCCCGGGGGCCAACUGCGGGACUGCUUUGGAAACUGCCCGGCUAGAGUGCUGGAGAGGUAAGCGGAAUUCGUGGUGUAGCGGUGAAAUGCGUAGAUAUUAGGAGGAACACCAGUGGCGAAGGCGGCUUACUGGACAGUAACUGACGUUGAGGCUCGAAAGCGUGGGGAGCAAACAGGAUUAGAUACCCGGGUAGUC